CGCCGCCGGCAGUUACCACGGC
Molecule: small nuclear RNA, 22 nt
Filed under: Arabidopsis thaliana (thale cress)
Lineage: Eukaryota; Viridiplantae; Streptophyta; Magnoliopsida; Brassicales; Brassicaceae
Description: snRNA_13844
Source: RNAcentral